RNAcentral lists this ribosomal RNA (500 nucleotides) under Bacillus amyloliquefaciens. RNAcentral describes it as "bacterial SSU rRNA". It matches the Rfam family "Bacterial small subunit ribosomal RNA", at positions 185 to 670 of the family's 1533-position model. Lineage: Bacteria; Bacillati; Bacillota; Bacilli; Caryophanales; Bacillaceae. The record is from RNAcentral.
ACCGCAUGGUUCAGACAUAAAAGGUGGCUUCGGCUACCACUUACAGAUGGACCCGCGGCGCAUUAGCUAGUUGGUGAGGUAACGGCUCACCAAGGCGACGAUGCGUAGCCGACCUGAGAGGGUGAUCGGCCACACUGGGACUGAGACACGGCCCAGACUCCUACGGGAGGCAGCAGUAGGGAAUCUUCCGCAAUGGACGAAAGUCUGACGGAGCAACGCCGCGUGAGUGAUGAAGGUUUUCGGAUCGUAAAGCUCUGUUGUUAGGGAAGAACAAGUGCCGUUCAAAUAGGGCGGCACCUUGACGGUACCUAACCAGAAAGCCACGGCUAACUACGUGCCAGCAGCCGCGGUAAUACGUAGGUGGCAAGCGUUGUCCGGAAUUAUUGGGCGUAAAGGGCUCGCAGGCGGUUUCUUAAGUCUGAUGUGAAAGCCCCCGGCUCAACCGGGGAGGGUCAUUGGAAACUGGGGAACUUGAGUGCAGAAGAGGAGAGUGGAAUUCC